UACGAAGGGGGCUAGCGUUGCUCGGAUUUACUGGGCGUAAAGGGCGCGUAGGCGGACUCUUAAGUCGGGGGUGAAAGCCCAGGGCUCAACCCUGGAAUUGCCUUCGAUACUGAGAGUCUUGAGUUCGGAAGAGGUUGGUGGAACUGCGAGUGUAGAGGUGAAAUUCGUAGAUAUUCGCAAGAACACCAGUGGCGAAGGCGGCCAACUGGUCCGAUACUGACGCUGAGGCGCGAAAGCGUGGGGAGCAAACAGG
This 253-nucleotide ribosomal RNA is filed under the name uncultured bacterium. Its description in RNAcentral is "partial 16S ribosomal RNA". It matches the Rfam family "Bacterial small subunit ribosomal RNA", at positions 524 to 776 of the family's 1533-position model. The record is from RNAcentral.